Micropterus dolomieu (smallmouth bass) is the source of this 611-nucleotide long non-coding RNA. RefSeq lists it as uncharacterized. The transcript is spliced from 3 exons. The record is from RefSeq and is a predicted model, not a curated record. Lineage: Eukaryota; Metazoa; Chordata; Actinopteri; Centrarchiformes; Centrarchidae.
CAACCCCCUCGCUCCGACGGCUCUGAGCAGCGCUCAGCACUGCUAGAGACGGAAUUGUUAGUGUAAAGGCUAGAUAGAGAUCCUCCAUGAAUAUUCCAGGGCUCCUUGUUUGUCGGGAAGGCUGUCUCGCUUUCAUCUAUUCAGCCUUCUGAUAGACAACCCUGACACCUGCUCCCUGGGGAGACCCUCCGCCAAGUCAGCGCACUGUUCCUUGAGAGACUUCCCUUACUUUAUCAGCCCAUAAAGGAUUGUCACAGGUGACUAUAUCAGCGGAGGUAUGGAGCUGAUCCCUGUGACCUGCCCCAGUGCUGUGAGGUCGAGGCCCCCACGCGGUCGAGGCACCAUGCACAUCACAAGCGGAUUAAGGUGGCUUAAAUGCUGUCAUACAAGCAGACUCAGUGCUUCACACUUUCGAAAAAUGUUAAGCCUUUGUUCUCUUCCAUUAAUUAGCAUUGUCUUAAGUUCAUUAGACCACUGCUCAUGUUGUUACUAAUGAGGCAACGUAGACCACCUACAUCAGCCGUAGCUUUGUAAAGCCUGACCUGACAAUGGCUCCUCCACUUUCCUGUCCAUGGUGUAAUGACAUGCAUAAAGAGGGAUGCUGGAACACA